GCCUUGGUGGCUCAGUCGGUUGAGCGUCUGACUUCGGCUCAGGUCAUGAUCUCACGGUUUGUGGGUUCGAGCCCCUCAUCGGGCU
This 85-nucleotide transfer RNA is filed under the name Felis catus (domestic cat). It matches the Rfam family "tRNA". Rfam says of the family: Transfer RNA (tRNA) molecules are approximately 80 nucleotides in length. Their secondary structure includes four short double-helical elements and three loops (D, anti-codon, and T loops). Further hydrogen bonds mediate the characteristic L-shaped molecular structure. tRNAs have two regions of fundamental functional importance: the anti-codon, which is responsible for specific mRNA codon recognition, and the 3' end, to which the tRNAs corresponding amino acid is attached (by aminoacyl-tRNA synthetases). tRNAs cope with the degeneracy of the genetic code in two manners: having more than one tRNA (with a specific anti-codon) for a particular amino acid; and 'wobble' base-pairing, i.e. permitting non-standard base-pairing at the 3rd anti-codon position. The record is from Rfam by way of RNAcentral. RNAcentral also lists the same sequence under 1 other name. Lineage: Eukaryota; Metazoa; Chordata; Mammalia; Carnivora; Felidae.